CCAGGGGGCCGGGCAGUCGCGUCACUCGCAAGAGUGCCGAGGAAAGUCCGGGCUCCACGAAACAAGGGUGGCGGGUAAUGCCCGCCGGGCGAGUUGCUUGCAGCGAAGUCCAGGGAAAGUGCCACAGAGAGCAGACCGCCUGCCUUGCGCAGGUAAGGGUGAAAGGGUGCGGUAAGAGCGCACCGGGUGUCUGGUAACAGAGACCGCACGGCAAACCCCACCCGGAGCAAGACCGAAUAGGGGCGGCGCGCCUUGCCGCAAGGCAGGGCAGGUCAGUUUCGGACCCGACCGCCCGGGUUGGUUGCUUGAGCCCUGGGGCGACCCAGGGCCUAGAGGAAUGGCUGCCAGCGGGGAUACGGUCCUUCAUGGGAUACCGUCCGCGCUACAGAACCCGGCUUACAGGCCCCCUGGCGAA
RNAcentral lists this RNase P RNA (415 nucleotides) under Sphingomonadales bacterium. Its description in RNAcentral is "RNase P RNA component class A". It matches the Rfam family "Bacterial RNase P class A". From Rfam's summary of the family: Ribonuclease P (RNase P) is a ubiquitous endoribonuclease, found in archaea, bacteria and eukarya as well as chloroplasts and mitochondria. Its best characterised activity is the generation of mature 5'-ends of tRNAs by cleaving the 5'-leader elements of precursor-tRNAs. The record is from RNAcentral. Lineage: Bacteria; Pseudomonadati; Pseudomonadota; Alphaproteobacteria; Sphingomonadales.